This 711-nucleotide long non-coding RNA is filed under the name Homo sapiens (human). RNAcentral describes it as "DAB1 antisense RNA 1". Lineage: Eukaryota; Metazoa; Chordata; Mammalia; Primates; Hominidae. The record is from RNAcentral.
GGUUCACAUCAUAAUGGUUCUUUUGCCAACAGGAGCUGGUAAUCAGGAUGGCAGUGAGGCAGGCACUUGCUUGCAGAAGAACAGGCCUAGUUUUUUAAGAAGCCACAAAAGUGUCUUUGGAUGAUUAGGAUCUAAGGGGCCAACAGCUUUGCAAUAACAGCAUAAAUAUUGUGGGCUGGAUGGACAGGCACCAAAUGGGGACAUUCCAUCCUGCUGUGUGAUGAGAAAGCUGCCACUUUUGAGGCCUUCCAAAACAAAUCAACACUCCAUAUGCCAGAAGGAAAAGCCCAGGAAAGACCUAUUCCAACUGGAGAUGGUGAAUGUCAUUUCUUCAAGAAGCUGAGAUCCAGCUGGUACUGCCAGGAAUACGAAGGGAGAAUGAAACAAAACUGCUCCGCUUAGGGAACUUGGAAAGGAAAUUGAAAAGGCAAGGCACAGGCUGGAAGAAAAUAUUUGAAAAAGAUUUAUGUGAACUUCUUUCUGGAUUAUACAAAAUAUUUUUAGAUAUUCUUACAACUCUAAAAUAAGAUAACUCCUUAAAAAUCUAAAUUCUACCAAAGGAGAGAUAAAGAUGACGAAUACAUUCAAAGAUGCUGAAAAUCACUUAUUUAUUAUUAGGAAGUUACAAGCUAAAGCAUAAUGAGAUACCACUACAACCUACUAAACUGACUAAAAUUAAUCAGACUAACCAGGUGUUGGCAAGAAACAGGG